Molecule: non-coding RNA, 1182 nt
Organism: Penaeus vannamei (Pacific white shrimp)
Lineage: Eukaryota; Metazoa; Arthropoda; Malacostraca; Decapoda; Penaeidae
Source: RefSeq, a predicted model, not a curated record
ACAUGUAAUAUACAGAAGAACUGAACCCUUGUAAGUAGGUAGGUAGGUAAAUAGGUGGGAUUUGAAUAUGUGAACAUUUUAAUGUGAUUUAAGGACAAGUGAGGGAAUGACUGGUCGCCAGCAAAUGAACCGCUGAACAAAGGAAUAAGAAGACAGAGAAGAUCAUGAAAAUCCUGGAGGGGACAGGGAUGAACGGACAGACAUUGGGAGUAAAUGGACAGAUAAGGGGAAUGGAUUGCAAUGAAGCUCUCGCUUUCCUCUUUCCCUUUCUUUCCAACUCCUCUUCCUACACUUCCUCAGUUUCCUUCCCCACCUUUCCCACUCCCCUUCCUUAACUUCCACGACUUUGCCUUCUCCCCCUGUUGCUUCGCCUUUUCCUUCUAUCCCAUUGUCUUCUCCUCCUUCCCUUGCCUCACCCGUGGUCCGUCCUCCAAAGAGUGAAGAAGGCGCUGCUGCAGUCCAGUGCCAUCUUGGAGGCCUUUGGCAAUGCCGAGACCAACCGCAGUGACAACUCCUCCCGCUUUGGCAAGUACAUGGACAUCAACUCUGACUUCAAGGAUGACCCCAUUGGUAGCCACGCACAGAGUUACCUGCUGGAGAGGUCCCGUGUCGUCCUCCAGCAGCCAGGAGAAAGAAACUUCCACUCAUCCUAUCAGGGUGACAUGAAUUCACUUCUGGGGGUGAUGUGUCGCCGGUCAGGUGACCAAGGCACUAUGCCGUCGCGUGAUUGCAGCGAGAGGCGAGGUCAUGGAGAAGCGGCACACAGAGAGCGAGGCCAGCUAUGGGCGUGAUGCGGUUGCCUCGGUUAGCAAGUCAUAGGCAGCCUCCUUAAUCACAUUUGGUGAUCGCUGGAGACGUCCUCGUGGGGAACGGCAGAGUGGGGAGUGCGAGGGACGGGAGGGAGACGCCUCGGCAUCCGCGAGAGGAAGCCCAGGUUCCUCUGCGUCCCGGUCUGCUGCCAGGAACACGAUGGACGAAGGUGUUAUCCUCAAGCCUAGUGAGGAAGAUCAGCAGAAAUGACAAGAUGUCUGAGCGAGCCAUCCUGGUGACAGACAGACAGAUCUGCAAACUGCACAGCAAGACUCACGCCUUUGGGAUCCCCCAUUCCAGGAGGUGAGAAUUGGCAUUUUUUCUUUCCUUCUUUUCUUUUCUUUUCCUUGCUGCUUUUACUUCUUAACUUAC